GAUGAAGAACGUAGCGAAAUGCGAUAAGUAAUGUGAAUUGCAGAAUUCAGUGAAUCAUCGAAUCUUUGAACGCACAUUGCGCCCCCUGGUAUUCCGGGGGGCAUGCCUGUUCGAGCGUCAUUUCACCACUCAAGCCUCGCUUGGUAUUGGGCAACGCGGUCCGCCGCGUGCCUCAAAUCGUCCGGCUGGGUCUUCUGUCCCCUAAGCGUUGUGGAAACUAUUCGCUAAAGGGUGUUCGGGAGGCUACGCCGUAAAACAACCCCAUUUCUAAGGUUGACCCCGGAUCAGGUAGGGAUACUCGCUGAACUUAAGCAUAUCAAUAAGCGGAGGA
This 331-nucleotide unclassified non-coding RNA is filed under the name soil metagenome. RNAcentral describes it as "partial contains 5.8S ribosomal RNA, internal transcribed spacer 2, and large subunit ribosomal RNA". The stretch from base 1 to 120 matches the Rfam family "5.8S ribosomal RNA", at positions 35 to 154 of the family's 154-position model. The record is from RNAcentral.